This 253-nucleotide ribosomal RNA is filed under the name uncultured bacterium. RNAcentral describes it as "partial 16S ribosomal RNA". It matches the Rfam family "Bacterial small subunit ribosomal RNA", at positions 524 to 776 of the family's 1533-position model. The record is from RNAcentral.
UACGGGGGGGGCAAGCGUUGUUCGGAAUUACUGGGCGUAAAGGGCUCGUAGGCGGCCAACUAAGUCAGACGUGAAAUCCCUCGGCUUAACUGGGGAACUGCGUCUGAUACUGGAUGGCUUGAGAUUGGGAGAGGGAUGCGGAAUUCCAGGUGUAGCGGUGAAAUGCGUAGAUAUCUGGAGGAACACCGGUGGCGAAGGCGACAUCCUGGACCGGUAUUGACGCUGAUGCGCGAAAGCCAGGGGAGCAAACGGG